AUGGUCAUUGGUGGUACUGGUGGAAGCCGAGGCGGCGUUGCUGCUCUUUCGAAGAGGGGCAUGGAGGGUGUUGGUGAUGGCGUUGAUGUCGCGCUUAAGAGGGCGAGGGUUGAUCCUAUUGCAGCCAGGAGGAGGCAUUAUAAGAAGACUGCGGGUAGGAAAAAGUGUCCACCCAAAGCCACAACGAUCAACAUAAAGUCCAGGCCCGCAUCAUCGAUGGAAGUUGCAGCUGCAUCCCCUGUGCCAAAAUCUAAUAUGGGUACCGUCAAUACAGCUAUUGCAAGCAGUUCAGCUACGUCAAUCAGUUUCCUAUCCUCGCUGGCAGAUAUGCUUUCUACAAAUGAAGACAUCCAAGACGCUCCUAGGGAUGAUCUCAUAACACCUAGGACCGAAGAGGUUGUUCCAGCACUAUUCACUUUGAUAACCGGUGUUAGUGGUGUGUUAGACGGAGGCAUUGUCGGAGGUAAGGUCCAACCGAAAGCUGAUAUUAUGGAGAAACAUUCUGCCCAAACUGAUCCUACUGUUGCUGCUGCCCCGGAGUGUGCGUCUUCUUGUCCUGUUCAAUCCCAUGCACACACAGUCGAUUUGCCUGCGACAAAAGGCGAUGUUAGUUCUGAAGCACUUGUUAGAGAUUCCACAAAUAUCUCAGACAUAGUUGUGGUGGAUUCGAUGGUGCGGACGAUUGCCCCUGCUACAACCGAUACUGAUGUGCUCCGUAAGUUGAGUCCCCCGAAGAAGGUUCCGGCAUGGUCAGUUAAGAAGGGUGAUGGAUCGAUGUUCAUUCGUGUGCCUUCUCUGUUUCCAGCAACUGCUUCAAGCAAUACAGUUGAGCCAGUUCAAAGUAAGGAGAUUAGAGACGUUGUGGGGCAGCAUUAUGUCGCGCCCCGUGCAAGCAAGCUACCCAAGCCAAGGACCAUGACGCCGAACAUGAUUGGGGUGUCUUGUGUAGCUUCUAGGGAGCAACUUGCGAGGAGCAAAUUUGUGGAUGAAGUUAUCGAAGUUCCUGACAGCACCCCACCUGCACUUGUCAAGGUGGCCACGUUAGAUUUGACCAAAUCAUACUUUCAGAAGCAAGGGACACCGAGGGAGAGGCGCCCUAUGGAAUUCACCCCACCAUCAUGCAGCCUUGGCAUAGAAAAGGCAAUUGAUGCAACGCGAGUCUCCUUUUCGCACCCUGUGCUCGAAGAACCAAUGCUUGCACAACCAAUUCUUCAAGUGUCGAAAGUUGUCAAGUUCGCCGAGCCUAUAGUGCAAGGAGAUUGUAUAGGCACGGCUGUUGAUAUAUUGCCUUCCUUGGAUGAAGCUUACGCAAAGAUGGAGCAAGAUGCUCCAAAACAUCAGUCCAUUGGGAAACAAGUUGAUUCAAGUUCGGAUCUUUCUACCCAGUCAAGUGCAGACGUUGUCAGAAGUGCUACUAGAGGGUUUGUUCGACAGGCAAGGGUUGUGCAUCGGCCAGAAUCGGCUGACUGUGAGCCUACAAUUAAGGCUACAAAGGAACAACAUCAUUUGUACGAGCUUUUGAAGUGGUAUGCGGAUGCUAGAUCAAACAACAGAGCUACGAAGAAGAUCAGAGAAAUGAGGAUCAUAAAGUCCAGGGGCAAUCAUGUUCUUCUUGGUGAACUGGUUGAUGCCUUGAAGCCUACAGGGAAAAUGAUUGUGCCGCUCACCUUCACUGCCAUUGAGUAUCUAAACAAUCAUGGUGGCCUCCCAAAAGGCAAGGUUAUUAUGUCCCACGGUGUUACCAGGAAAAUCAUGGCAGGUGACUUUCAAAAUAGGGAAAUCAAGAACUGUUUUGCACAUAAGGGUGAAUUCAAUCUAUCACUCAAGGAGUUGAUCAUGUUCCCUCUCUUCCAGGAACUUGCUCCAGAUAACCCAAUUGAUAAAGCUGGCCACUUCUACACUAUUUGCAUCAACAAUGAGAAGCAAAGGAUCGAGGUUCUUGACUCUAUGCGUUUAGAAUCGAGUGGGAGCUUAUAA
RNAcentral lists this ribosomal RNA (1977 nucleotides) under Triticum aestivum (bread wheat). RNAcentral's name for it is "partial small subunit ribosomal RNA". The record is from RNAcentral. Lineage: Eukaryota; Viridiplantae; Streptophyta; Magnoliopsida; Poales; Poaceae.